This 253-nucleotide ribosomal RNA is filed under the name uncultured bacterium. RNAcentral's name for it is "partial 16S ribosomal RNA". It matches the Rfam family "Bacterial small subunit ribosomal RNA", at positions 524 to 776 of the family's 1533-position model. The record is from RNAcentral.
UACGAAGGGGGCUAGCGUUGCUCGGAAUCACUGGGCGUAAAGGGUGCGUAGGCGGGUCUUUAAGUCAGGGGUGAAAUCCUGGAGCUCAACUCCAGAACUGCCUUUGAUACUGCCGUGCUUGAGGACUGGAGAGGAGACUGGAAUUUACGGUGUAGCGGUGAAAUGCGUAGAUAUCGUAAGGAAGACCAGUGGCGAAGGCGGGUCUCUGGACAGUUCCUGACGCUGAGGCACGAAGGUCAGGGGAGCAAACGAG